Molecule: long non-coding RNA, 867 nt
Organism: Cannabis sativa
Lineage: Eukaryota; Viridiplantae; Streptophyta; Magnoliopsida; Rosales; Cannabaceae
Exons: 5
Source: RefSeq, a predicted model, not a curated record
AGUUACUUGGCAGUUUAAACAGUUUCCUGCUAGGACUUCAGUUGAAAGUCCUUCCAUCCUUUACCAGAGAGAGUGAAACGUGAAAUUGGUUCAGAGACUCACAUAUCGCUCUCGACAUAGCUAUGCCACUAAGUCCAAGGUGGGAAGCUUGUUUACUAGACCACUAAGAGAAUCCAAGGGAUUCCACACUUGAGACCUACUGAGUACAAGCGUUCUAGACUUUCAAGGAACAGGAAGACCGUGAACCGCCCAUACGGUGGUGUAUUAUCUGGUAGAGCUGUUCGAGAAAGAAUUAUCAGAGCAUUUUUGGUGGAAGAACAGAAGAUUGUAAAGAAGGUUUUGAAGAUCCAGAAAGCAAAAGAAAAGUUGACUUCAAAGAAAUAAGUUGUCAAUGUGAAGCUGUGUUUAUUUUGAUUUGAUGGAAACAAAUUUUGAUUUUAUUGUGUUGAUUACAUUUCAGAAAUCAUAGAUAUAAGGUUUUUCUUACAAUUAUGAUCAAGCUUUACUUAUUCUCAUUUGUUUGCUUUAAUUGAUUUUUUGAGGAACAAGGUUCUUGUUGCGAGGGAUUUGUUCCCUGAAACCUUGCAGGUGGAACAAUGCAUUCAUAUUUCAUUUUCACUUGGUAUGACAUUCCUCCAUUAGCGAGUCCAAACAAUUUAUUCAUGUAUUUUUACAUUAAACCGAACCAGGCCAAUUCAUCUGCAAUUUGGGUGGUUAAGCAAAAGAAGGCCUAUUCUGUUUGAAAUACAAAAGGAAUCCCAUGAUCUUGUCAAGAGGAGGUGACACCUCUUUCACCACCGGAUGUUCGUUCACUUCUGUGACCCAUGAGUAGAGAAACGGUGUCAUUUCUGGGUCCAUGAAUUUCAC